RNAcentral lists this ribosomal RNA (492 nucleotides) under uncultured bacterium. RNAcentral's name for it is "partial 16S ribosomal RNA". It matches the Rfam family "Bacterial small subunit ribosomal RNA", at positions 30 to 507 of the family's 1533-position model. The record is from RNAcentral.
AUUGAACGCUGGCGGCAUGCUUUACACAUGCAAGUCGAACGGUAACAGGCCUUCGGGUGCUGACGAGUGGCGCACGGGUGCGUAAUGCAUCGGAACGUGCCCAGAGGUGGGGGAUAACGCAGCGAAAGCUGUGCUAAUACCGCAUGUGAUCUGAGGAUGAAAGCGGGGGACCAGGCAGCAAUGUUUGGCCUCGCGCCUUUGGAGCGGCCGAUGUCAGAUUAGGUAGUUGGUGGGGUAAAGGCCUACCAAGCCGACGAUCUGUAGCUGGUCUGAGAGGACGACCAGCCACACUGGGACUGAGACACGGCCCAGACUCCUACGGGAAGCAGCAGUGGGGAAUUUUGGACAAUGGGCGCAAGCCUGAUCCAGCAAUGCCGCGUGCGGGAAGAAGGCCUUCGGGUUGUAAACCGCUUUUGUACGGAACGAAAAGGCUCUGGCUAAUACCUGGGGCUGAUGACGGUACCGUAAGAAUAAGCACCGGCUAACUACGUG